Papaver somniferum (opium poppy) is the source of this 349-nucleotide long non-coding RNA. RefSeq lists it as uncharacterized. Lineage: Eukaryota; Viridiplantae; Streptophyta; Magnoliopsida; Ranunculales; Papaveraceae. The record is from RefSeq and is a predicted model, not a curated record. The transcript is spliced from 4 exons.
UCAGAGUUGGUUUAGGAAAACUAAGAAGGUGUCGGUGGGGUAGUGACUUAUGUAACAAAUUCAACUAAUCAGAGUUGGUUUAGGAAAACUAAGAAGGUGUCGGUGGGGUAGUGACUUAUGUAACAAAUUCAACUAAUCAGAGUUGGUUUAGGAAAACUAAGAAGGUUACCAUGGUUGAAAUCUCAGAAGAUGAUUCUGCUUCUAAUCUUCCAAUUAUACAUGGAGUGGCAUCACAAAUGGGACCUCCCCCUCCACGUCCACCGCGUUCUGGACAAGUGCAUGGACCAUCAGCAGGGACAGGGAGUACCGCUGGCUCAUCUACACCAGCUUCUGAACCUUCACAUGCUUG